CGACCGGCGCACGGGUGCGUAACGCGUAUGCAACCUACCUUUAACAGGGGGAUAACACUGAGAAAUUGGUACUAAUACCCCAUAAUAUCAUAAGAAGGCAUCUUUUAUGGUUGAAAAUUCCGAUGGUUAGAGAUGGGCAUGCGUUGUAUUAGCUAGUUGGUGGGGUAACGGCUCACCAAGGCGACGAUACAUAGGGGGACUGAGAGGUUAACCCCCCACACUGGUACUGAGACACGGACCAG
Molecule: ribosomal RNA, 242 nt
Filed under: uncultured bacterium
Lineage: Bacteria
Description: partial 16S ribosomal RNA
Rfam family: Bacterial small subunit ribosomal RNA
Source: RNAcentral